Long non-coding RNA from Bombyx mori (domestic silkworm), 4070 nucleotides. RefSeq lists it as uncharacterized. The record is from RefSeq and is a predicted model, not a curated record. NCBI's taxonomy places the organism in Eukaryota, Metazoa, Arthropoda, Insecta, Lepidoptera, Bombycidae. The transcript is spliced from 2 exons.
GAAAGUGAAGCUCAAAAGAAUGUUAACAAUGACAAUGUUAAGAACGGCGGAGGAGCUUUCUACACCAAGAAAAAGGUAAAGAAAUAUUGUCAAAAGUAUAAAAAGAAGGGUCAUACAACGAAAACGUAGUGGAGCGAAAAGAAAGAUAAAGUAAAAAAAUCUAAUAAAGUAGAAAAGAAUUACAGCAUAACGCCCAUAUAUAAGUCCAUGUCCAUAACUUCGGCGAACAUAUGGUGUUUGGACAGUGGCUGCACAUCGCAAAAAGACACUUUGAAGAGAUACAGCCAGAGUCAGGUACACUCAAACUAUCAUCUGAAUCACAACCAAAAUCGAAGGCAAAGGCAAAGUAUGUUUCGAACUACACGACUAUAUAAUUAAUUUACAUGACACACUAUACGUGCCAAAGCUAUCGACGAAUCUCCUAUCAGUAGGAAAACUUACACAAAAUGGCUGCACUGUCAGUUUUGUUUACAAUAUGGCCUAUAUUAAAAAUAAAAAGAAUGAAACAACUUUGACUGCAAAAAAAGAAAAUGGCUUAAAUUAUGUACAUUUAAAAAAUUCAAGUAUUGCAAGCGCUGUGUCUGAUAACAAUAUGAUGUUAUGACACCAAAAACUUGGCCACUUAAAUGAAAAAGAUAUGAAACUAAUUGAUAAAAAUGAACUGAUCAGAGGCGUUAACCUGGGAAAAUUCGGAAAAAUGCCCACUUGCGCAACCUGUAUAGAAGGUAAGAAAACUCAGUUGCCAUACACAUCCACAGAAGGACCACAAUCGAGUGAACGACUGGAAAUAAUGCAUAUUGAUGUGUGCGGACCAAUGAGGACGGAAACUAUUGCAGGAUCCAAAUAUUUCGUGACUUCUGUCGAUGAUUUGUCAAAAUAUUGGUGCGUGUACUUCCUUAGACACAAAGAUGAAGUUUUAGAAAAAUUCAAAGAAUUCAAAAAUAGGGUAGAAAAUUCUUUCAAUAAAAAAGUUCGAGUACUCCAAUCAGACAAUGGCAGAGAAUACGGCAACAAAGAAUUUGACCGUUACCUAAAAGAAAGCGGCAUACACCUAAGAUUAUCUGCUCCCUACACGCAACAUGGCCAGAGCGAGAGAAAUAAUCGUACGCUCAUGGAUAAAGCACCGUGCUUAAUGAUAGAAGCAAACAUACCUGAACUGAAGCACUGAGCUGAAGCAAUAAGUACACUGAACAGAAGAACACUGUUGUGACUAGCAGAGACGUAAAAAUUAUUGACAAAAUGUAUUACGAUAAUGAAGAUCAAAGCUAUGAUGACAUUUUCUAUGAAAGGGAACCACUGCAACCUGAAAAAGAAAAGAAAGUUAUUAAAAAUACUCAGAAAAAUAAUCGAAAAUCUAAUAAACAUGUAGAUAUCGAAAUGAAACCAUCUACGUAAAAUAAAAAUAAAAAGAUACAACCUCCUACCAUACUUAUCCAACCUGAAGAAAAUCCUGCAACUACUUCUCAGAGUAAUGGAAACGAAGUUGAAAGGGAAUAGGAAAGAAAUAUAGACCAGCAUAGGAGGAGUUUACAAGGUAACACUAGAUCUCAAAGACAAAGAAUAGUACCAAAUUAUUUAAAAGAUUACGACCUUGAUUCGCAAUCUGAUACUUCCGAUGAUUUUCAAGAACCAGUAAAUCAAAUAACAAAUGAAGACCAUACCUUGCUGUGUGAAUCCGCAAAUCCAAGCGUCACUGACGAGGAAUGGCGAGAAGCUAUUAAAAAGGAGAUUAAAGCACAUAUUAAGAAUGGUGCUUGGGUUAUUAAAAAGAAAGGAAAUGAGGAAAACAUCAUAGAUUUUAAGAUGUUAUUAAAAACACAAGGGAGAUAUGAAAAAAGCUCGCCUUGUUGCACGAGGAUUCACUCAAAGACCUGGAAUAGAUUACAAUGAAACCUGGACUCCAGUUGCAAAGCUAAGUUCAAUAAAAUUGCUUUUCGCUACAGCUGUAAAUGAAGACUUGAAACUGCACCAGUUAGACGUCACAACAGCUUACUUAAACGGAGAUCUGGAAGAAAAAAUAGUAAUGAUAAAACCAGAGUAUUUAGAAGAGUAUAUUGCCGAUAUUAUGAUUGAAGAAAUAGCUAACGAAGAUAUUUGUAAUAAAGCCAAGAAAAUACUUGAGGAUUUAACUAAGGACAAAAGUUAGAAAGUCUGCGAGUUAAAGAAAGCAUUGUAUGGAUUAAAGCAAUCUGGCCGCAAUGGUUUAACGCUACACGCUGAAUUGAUAUAUUUUGGUUUCAGUCCUUUUCAAGCUCAUCCUUGUUUAUGUACGCUAGGAAGAGGACGAGAGAAGAUUAUCCUUGGCUUAUAUGUCGAUGACAUUCGGUUAGCGUAUUCUUGCAAAGAUAUCCUAGGCGAAACAAUUAAAUAUCUCACAUCAAAAUUCGAAAUGAAAGACCUAGGAGAAGCAAAAAAAUAUGUCGGGAUAGAAAUAGAACAGAAUGAGGGACAGAUAAAAUUAAAACAAGAAAAAUAUAUUAACAAGUUGCUCGUAAGAUUUGGUAUGGAAGAAUGUAAAACGGUGAGAACGCUGAUUGAGCCAUAUCUUAAGCUACAGAAAGAAGAAAACUGUAACACAAACUUAUAUCAAAAUCUGAUCGGAGCACUCAUGUUCUUAGUAGUUGCUACACGCUCAGAUAUAAGUUAUGCAGUGAGUUAUCUAUCGCAAUUUAAUAACUGCUAUGAAGAAGAACAUUUCAAAUAUGGAAAGCGUCUACUACGUUACCUCAAAGGUACAAAAGAAACUGGAUUGUUGUUUAAGAAAAAUAAUAAACCAAUAAUAAACUAAUGAAGUUUUCUUAUUACUUUUCAAGUUUUAGAUGGCAUAUAAAUACAAGAAAAAAUAUCAACCAAGCCCAUUGGAGUGAGAACAGUAUGAUGCUUGCGAUAACAGAUUGCUUCUAUAGCUUCGAUAGCAGAUUCUGUCAUUCCUGUGAAAACGACCGCAAAAAAGUAUGGUCUAUCUUAAGCCGCUCUUUAUAGGAAUUAGAAAAAAGGUAGUUGGACUGCUCAGCUUGGUCGUCUUCGUAAAGUUUUAAACGAUGAACAAGAAGAAGACUUUCCAACGUAUUUGUAUGAUAUGGAUAGUGUUUUUUAUGGGUUAACCCAAAAAGAAUUAAAAAAUAUUAGUUUUUGAAUACGCAAAACGCAAUAAUGUCACUUGUCCGCCUAGUUGGGACAAAAAUAAAUAAGCUGGUGAUGAUUGGUUAGCAGAACUUAUGAGAAGAAAUCCACAAAUACACUAAGAAUUCCAGAAGCAACUACAAUUGGCAGAGUUAAAAGCUUCAAUUGUCCUCAAGUAGAAAGGUUGUAUAAGCCGUGAAGUGACCAAAUUAUCAGAAUCUAUAAUAUAGAUGAAACUGUCACUCGGACCUCGACAAAUAAACCACCCAUAGUUCUUUCAGUUAAAGGUAAGAAGCAAGUUGUAGUCAUUUCCAGCACUGAACCUGGACAAACUACAGUCGUGAGUUGCUGCAUCGCUUCUGGAUUAUUCGUUCCGAUGCCACACGUUCCUGUGGGUACACGUAAAAGAAAGAUUCAAAAGUCUAAGGUGUUAACUCGUACGCUAGUGAAGGGAGAACAAAAAGAAAAAUUUAAAAGGAAUGAAAAAUAUGAAUAAAGAUUUAAAUGCUAAACCAAAUACUGCGACAAAGAAAAAUACUAAAAUGCCGAUAAAUAUAAUUGUUAAAGAUAAAAGUAAGGAUAGUGGUAAGGAAACCGGGGAAGAACUGUGUGUAUUCUAUUAUUCCGAGGAGAACUGUAUACAAAUAAAUGACAAAACAGUUGGUGAUUGGAUCCAAUGUGAUAGAUGUAAGCAAAGGAGUCACGAUAAAUGCACGGCUUAUGAAGAAUAGGCUUAUUUCUUUGUGAUAUCUGCACUGAUUAGUUUAAAGCUAUGCUAAGUAUUUGUGCACUUUGCCCUAUCGUCCUAUCCACUUUACCUGACCUAUGGGGCAAAGUGGAUACUGGCAUAUUUUGCAACAUUAUUGACAAUUAAAAUUAAAGGACUGCUAUUAAGCAUUUUUUGUUGAUUAUAUUAAAGACUUUAAUAAAUGUUGAUUCUCAUUGAA